UACUUCACACGACGACCCGUGAACGACUACUUCCCUCGAUGACUCGAACCGCUCCGAAAACGCACGCUUCGAAGGUAUAAUCCCGAGAUGAUGAUCACUCGUGAACGAAUGCAUGUGUUGCAUGAGAUGAAUCGUAUGUUUGCGCCGUGUCUGAGAGAGGUCUUUGCACGUUCCUCGUUUGCCAUGCCGCCGUCCCGUGGGAACCCGGAAUUGGGAGCACCCCACCAUCCUUGCAUGACUCGCUCACGCUCACUUCCUUUUGCACCGGUAUCUCUGUGAGUUACCAGGACCAGAAUGUUGCCGUGGCACCAUUUCCGUUUCACCGCCGUGGCACCUUUUUCCUUCCGCCAUGGCGACAAAUGUUUCAUAUCUUGCUCAUGUUAGCGUUUUCAUAAAAAUUGCAUAAACCUUGAUUAUGUCAUCUGCAUCAUGAUAACAACAUUUAAAAUGUUUAAAAUUGUGUUUGCUUUAAAUUGCUAAAUGACAUAUGGGGAUUUUUCGGAAUUGUCGUUUGUUGUUUCCAGCCUCAUUUAAACUUGCCUAGAUAGGUGGUUUGCUCAUGCUUCACCCCUUGCCAUGUUUAAUAACAUUUAAUAAUGUUGGGUACAUAAACGAGAGCGAACUAAAUAACUUGAAUGUGGUGUUUCGUCAAUAUGCAACUCGUUGCAUAUUGAGCUCCACUUAACUUGUAGUAUUGUUUGUUGCACUUUGCCAUGCCAUGGCUCAUUAAAUCAGACAUGCAUCAUACUUGUUUGUGCAUCAUGACAUGUUUAUGCUUGUGUGUUUACCAUGUUGUUUGCUUCUUUCCGGUUUGCUUCUCUCGUUAGCUUCGGUUUCGUUCCGGAGUUGUGAGCAUUCGUUCGACUACGUCCAUUUGUCUUCUUCUUGGACUCGUUCUUCCUAGCGGGAUUUUAGGCAAGAUGACCAUUACCCUUGAUAUCACUUCUAUCUUUGCUUGCUAGUUGCUUCGUUCUAUCGCUAUGCUGCGCUACCUAUCACUUGUUUACCAUGCCUCCCAUAUUGCCAUGUCAGCCUCUAACCUUUUCACCCUUCCUAGCAAACCGUUGCUUGGCUACGUUACCGCUUUGCUCAGCCCCUCUUAUAGCGUUGUUAGUUGAAGGUGAAGUUGAACAUUGCUCCAUGGUGGACAGGAUUAUGUUGGGAUAUCACAAUAUCUCUUAUUUAAUUAAUGCAUCUAUAUACUUGGUAAAGGGUGGAAGACUCGGCCUUAUGCCUGGUGUUUUGUUCCACACUUGCCGCCCUAGUUUCUGUCAUACCGGUGUUAUGUUCCCGGAUUUUGCGUUCCUUACGCGGUUGGGUGAUUUAUGGGACCCCCUUGACAGUUCGCUUUGAAUAAAACUCCUCCAGCAAGGCCCAACCUUGGUUUUACCAUUUGCCUACCUAAGCCUUUUUCCCUUGGGUUCUACAGACUCAAGGGUCAUCUUUAUUUUACCCCCCCCGGGCCAGUGCUCGUCGCGAGUGUUGGUCCAACCUGUCAACCGCCGGCGGCCACCAGGGGCAACUCUGGGCUGGCCUACCGGAAGUUUGGACAAUCCGGUGUGCCCUGAGAACGAUAUAUGUGCAUCUCCUAUCAGGAUUUGUCGGCACAUUCGGGCGGCUUUGCUGGUCUUGUUUUACCAUUGUCGAAAUGUCUUGUAAACCGGGAUUCCGAGUCUGAUCGAGUCUUCCUGGGAGAAGGUAUAUCCUUCGUUGAUCGCGAGAGCUUAUCAUGGGCUAAGUUGGGACACCCCUGCAGGGUAUAAUCUUUCGAAAGCCGUGUCUGCGGUUAUAGGCAGAUGGGAAUUUGUUAAUGUCCGGUUGUAGAUAACUUGACACCAGAUCCGAAUUAAAAUGCAUCAACCGCGUGUGUAGCCGUGAUGGUCUCUUUUCGGCGGAGUCCGGGAAGUGAACAUGGUUUCUGUGUUAUGUUUGACGUAAGUAGGAGUUCAGGAUCACUUCUUGAUCAUUGCUAGUUCACGACCGUUCCUUUUGCUCUCUUCUCGCUCUUAUUUGCGUAUGUUAGCCACCAUAUAUGCUUAGUCGCUAUUGCAACCUCACCACUUUACCACUUCCUACCCAUAAGCUUAAAUAGUCUUGAUCUCGUGGGUUUUGAGAUUGCUGAGUCCUCGUGACUCACCAGAUACUAUCACAACAGUUGCAGGUGCCGAUGAUACCAGUGCAGGUGAUGCAACCGAGCUCAUAUGGGAGCUCAACGAAGACCUUGGUCGUUGCUAUGUUUCGUUUCAUGUUGAUCAGUAGUGGAGCCCAGUUGGGACGAUCAGGGAUCUAGCAGUUGGGUUAUCUUUUUUUCUUUUGGCUUCGUCCGUAGUCGGACUAUAUGUGUGUACUCUGAAUGAUGUAUGAUUUAUUAUAUGUUCAUUGUGUGAAGUGG
Molecule: long non-coding RNA, 2392 nt
Filed under: Triticum aestivum (bread wheat)
Lineage: Eukaryota; Viridiplantae; Streptophyta; Magnoliopsida; Poales; Poaceae
Description: long non-coding RNA (TAES_LNC003366)
Source: RNAcentral